AAGAAGGUAGAGAAGGAAUUCUCCCUCUGGAGCUUGCAACACCAUGUCCACAGCUUAGUAAAUUCAGCUGUUGCCAUUGUAUGUCAAGUCAUCUCAGGUGGCCUUUUGUGCAUUUCCAGAUGUGUUUGUAAUUCCUGGAGCCUGGAGCACAGACGGCUGGGCUGAGCUAGUCCCAUAUGGAGUCAGUUUGGAUCAAAUGUCUAAUCUGUGGGGGAGGGCUCUCUGCCCUGUUAGAGUGUGGAAGAAGAAUGUCCUGUUGCUGCCCAGAAAACUAUUUUUAUAGUUAAAAAAGAUGUCUGUCAAGACAAAAGAUUACCAUUGGAAAAAAGGGCUCCUUUUAAACCUUUUUUUGCUGUAGCAAUUUGUUUUCUAUAUAGGAAAAGGAAUCGGUAACCAAACUUGAUGCUUGGACUAUACUAGUUUUGAUGCACUGGAGAAUGGCAUUCUUUCUCCCCAGAAAAUUUUGAAACAAGGCUGGUGAUUUGAGGACAGAUAUGAGCCUUCUCCAGCAGGUCAUCAUGGGCUUGUAUGACUUCAGAGCUUAUUCAUUCCAGAUUCAAGAAUUCUGGACCAUAAGUAAAUAUGCCUUGUGUCCAAACUGCAUUUUUGCCAAAAGUUUCCCUGGUCCUGGGAUUCAGCAUUGUGAUUCAUACUGAAGAGUGAACCGUCUAUUAUUUACCAGUAACUUAUAAAUUCUGUAAGUUCGGGUAUGUCUGAACUGAUGCUGUAACAUUUUAUUGGUGAAUUGUUCCCUCGAGCUGAAUCAAACUCAAAGCUAGGUUUUUAGGUGUAGCAAAUUAACCUGUUGAAUCAGUAAAAGGUUUUUUUUAGACACAGGCUUCAAAUUGUUCUCACAUUCUAAUUCAGGUGUCUUUUAAUGCUGUAAUGCAUUUUGGAUACUAUAGAAGUAAUUUAAUGCAGUUGUAUUCUCUACUAAAUUGGGCUGAUAAAUCGAGGACUGAAAGAAUACAGGAAAACUCCUUCCAUUUCAAUCCUUGUGGCUAUUCCAAGGCCUGAGGCUAACCCUGAAACGUGGACAUGGCUGGCAGUGCUAAGCAAGGUAAUUUAAAUGGCAGCUACACCCAUUUGAUUGGGUUUCAUGGAUGAGAACCACUGCUUUCAGUGUUGUCAAAUAACCAUUUUCAAAAAUAAUAGAGUUCUUCCUAUAUCUUUCUUUAAGUAGAAUUUUUGAAUCAUCUUUGUGGUGAAGGUAAAUCUUCCCCUGAAACGGCAGAAGUUUUUUUGCUUGAAUUGACCAGUCCUUUUAUACUUUUUGCUAUUUGUCAUGUUACGAAGUCUGUAAAUAUUUGUACCAACUGAUAACAAAAUCAAAAUGUCCCCCUGACCUGUAUCCAAAAACAUAUUCAUUUGCUAUUAGUCAUGCUUUUUCUAGCACUGCUGGGUCAAAACGACCUGUUCACUGGAUAUAGUGUCAGUGUGUCUUACGUAAUUCAGGAAGAGAAACUGUGAGGAUUAAAAUCAGAAUGAAAAGCGUAUGUUGAGCCUCACGUGAAGCAACGGUGUUUGAAUAGUUUCUUGUGUAGGCUUCCAGGCUAUUGCCUUGCUCGUGAUCAUAGUAAUCUUACAAAAUACCUUCUCACAAAAACAAAGGUAAAUAAUAAAAAAACUAGACUGGCACCUGUGAGUCCAGGUGUGAGCUGCAAAGCUGUUACAGCUGAGUGUUUUAAACACUGAUGGUCAUAAAUCCAGUUCAUUGUCCACUAACCACAUACUGUCAUGUCUUGUCAGGACUCACUUCAGGUUGCAACUGGAAUAUGGGAAAGGCUUUAUUUCAGGUUACCUGCAAACUCUUCUUGUGCUCCCUGCCCUUGCCUUUGAGUCUGGCUAAAUUUGAGGGAACCUCGGUGGGCAGCCAAUGCAGAAAACAGAAGUCUUGUGUUUGGCAAGAGCAGGAUUAUUUCCUAAUAGAAAGUCAAUUGUCUUUUUAACAACAGCAAGGACACGAACUCAGCAACAAUGAAACCAUUCCUUGCAUAGUCACAUGAAAGAAAGAGAAGUAAAACAACGAAUGCACUGUAAAUUAAGAUUAAACUAAUCAUGGUGAUACAGAAGAGGACUGAAAAGGGAGGUAUCAGAUGCCUCUCAAGGAGGAUCUUGGAGCAUUUUAAACCAACAUCACCUCAGAGCUUCUCAAAAUCCCAGUUGCUGGCAGAAGAUCCAAGUGGUAAAGAAGAGAAGUUGUGUAUUGGUGUCGUAAUUUUGCAGAGUGUCUGCUGCUUGCGUGGCUCUGCAGGUGUGUCAGCAGAAGCUGUCAGGAAAGGCAGUGUUUCUUCUCCUACAUUUGGUGUGAGGUUUCCAUACAGAGCCCUUUGUGAUCCUACCGGUAACGGCUAAAAACACGACAGAAAUACACACAAACUGGUUUGGCUUCUGGUUACAGGUAAUGCUUUAUCCUGGGGCACAUCAAACCCAAUGAGCUCCCCCUGAAACGAGCGGUGAGUCUGAGUUUCAACACCUGGCAAUUUUAGGCUGGGACUGCAAAACUCAGCUGUUUGUGCAGGGCUUAUUUUUAGGCACGGGUGGGAUUCGGUGCUUAAUGCUGCUGGACACUGCUAAUAAAUCUGGGUAAGCAGCAGCAGAGGCAGGCUCUGGCCAUGCAACCAGAGAGGUUGUAAAUCUGAAACAGUAAAUUUAUGGUUUAAUAGAAUUAAAUUCUGAGUGGUUAUGGCCUUUAAGCCAUACCUCUCGAAUUAUUUCUGCAGUGGCCAGACUAGAAAUGCUGCAUAAUGUACAGGGCAUUAUAGAACUUUGCAGGGUUGUUUGGUUUGUUUUUUUUUAAACACUCCAUCUGGAGGUAAUUGUAGCUUGGAGAGGGCUCAGUGGAUGGUGUUGUGUCUCUAGCAGGGCCAGGGUGGGAGGGAAGGAUGUAUUUUCUGUUACAUGCAUGGGCAUCGUAAUAGGGUACAACAGUUUGUCACAUUGGAAUAAUGAACUGAAUGCAUUGAAAUGGAGUAUCUAUAAUAUCUAUACAUAAUGCUACCACAGAGGCUAUCUCGGGUGUCAUAAACUCGUGAACAAGAGUUUAAACAAAAAAAAAGGAAAAAACUGUCUGCUGGGAAGCAAAGCAGCUGAGCAUCCUCCCCAGUGUCCCCUCCCAUGCAGCAGCAGGUCCCCCCACCUAGGCAAGAGCAAGAACUGCCUUCAGGACACUAAUUACAUCUCAGUCAGUACAGUUAAGUGACUGUAAUCAUUCUUUGUCUUUGCCCCAGGGGAAUUGGUGUAUAAACACAGAACUAUGAGGAACAGGGGAAUUAAGUGAAAAUGGAGCUACUUUGCUCUGAAACACGGGCAAAUGCUUUCCCAGUCCUACGUCCAUGACCCUGGGUACUGCCCAACUAACUGUGCCUUUACUGCCUCCAAAUUUAAGAUGUGCUGUCCCAAAAGAAAAGAUGGGAGUUCUGUCCAUUGCUGUACUUGAUGCUUGCUAAACCACGGAGUCAGGAGAGCUGUGGGCAUCGUAAUUCCAGCUAAACAAGGAAGAGCAGCACUUCUCCUCCACUGGAAUCUCUCAGCUCAGGUGCCCUCAGAAUGGCCGAGUGCUCCGAGAAGCACGUACCACUUUCAAUAAAUAUGCGGGAACACUGAUCCAUGUUGCAAUGUCCAGGUGGAAAAUCAGCGUUGCAGGUAGCAAACUUCAGUAUCGAGGAGCUGUAAACCCUGACAUGGCCACAAAAAUCUGGGAAAAAUCCCAAGCAGCAAACAAAAUCAGCCUGCAAAAUGAGACUGCUAUGGGAGAGCUAUUUUUAUUCUUAGGAACAGCCUGAGUAGAUAUGGUCACACUUGCACCUUUUUUCAGUUGGAAUGGGCAGGAGCAGACCAUAAACAACAGUCCCUGGUUUAUAAACAACAGCCCACUGGCCCUUGGGCAGCCUGAACUGGGAAGACAAUGGGAAAGUCCCCCAAGCAUGGGGUGAACUUGCACCUUCUCUGAACGCUGUU
Long non-coding RNA from Lepidothrix coronata (blue-crowned manakin), 3960 nucleotides. RefSeq lists it as uncharacterized. NCBI's taxonomy places the organism in Eukaryota, Metazoa, Chordata, Aves, Passeriformes, Pipridae. The record is from RefSeq and is a predicted model, not a curated record. The transcript is spliced from 5 exons.